Salvia miltiorrhiza (redroot sage) is the source of this 651-nucleotide long non-coding RNA. RefSeq lists it as uncharacterized. The record is from RefSeq and is a predicted model, not a curated record. Lineage: Eukaryota; Viridiplantae; Streptophyta; Magnoliopsida; Lamiales; Lamiaceae. The transcript is spliced from 2 exons.
GUGGCCGGGCAGCAGCGGCCGCGCCCUCCUUUUCCGGAUCCGGCGCCACCACUGCCCUGCCUCUCUUUCUCCUUUGGCCGACAGCAGCAGCCGUGGUGCUUCUGCCGCCGCGUCGCCACCGGAAAUAGAACAGGGACUGAGCGCCGCCUGCCGCCGCGCCGUUGCCGGCCGUGAGCAGCCGCCUCCUGUUCCUACCCGACACCUACAAUGACCAGCCGCCCCCAUCAAACUCCCAGCGACAAACGACGAGGUUGCUGCCGACAGCAACAACCAGCCGCACCGCCGUGGAAGCUCGCCGGGGAGCAGCGACAGCCGCUGACGACACUCGGUUCUCCCUCCUCAGAUCGACGGCAGCAAGGCCGCCGGCCGUCACCCCUCUUCGGUCUCCAGCGAGCAAAACAGACGGCCACCACCGCCGUCCGCCGACUCCUUCUCCACUCUUCACCGUGGCUAGGCAGCAACGGCAGAGCCGCAGCGCCUAGCCUCCCUCUCGACUCCAUUUUUCAAAAAUACAUCAAAAUUGGCAUGCUUCAUAUAUGUAUCUAUAUGCACAUAAAUUGUAUGUCUGAACACUUGGUGAUUUUAAGAAAUUGUUGUUCUUUAUGAAUGUGUAUACAUAUGCACCGAAAUGAUGAGAUGAAAGUAUGUGAA